RNAcentral lists this long non-coding RNA (1286 nucleotides) under Gallus gallus (chicken). RNAcentral's name for it is "lncRNA (ENSGALG00010005041.1)". The record is from RNAcentral. Lineage: Eukaryota; Metazoa; Chordata; Aves; Galliformes; Phasianidae.
ACUAAACAGCCCCAGCUCCCUCAGCCUCUCCUCAUAGGGCUGAUUUUCCAAGCCCUUCACUAGCCUCGUUGCCCUUCUCUGGACCUGCUCCAGGUCCAGAGAAAAUAAAUGCAUCUGAUAUUACAUGAUUUGCAAAAUAUGGUAGCUGUCUUGAAUUGUUGCAAAGAGCAAGAAAACUAGUUGGGUAGGAGUGAUGUACUAAUUAAGGAAUGCUAUAGGAAUGAUGGAUACUGAGGUAGGUAUCCAACAGGCAUGCGGGGAGAAGAAAUCUGAUCAUAGUUAGUAGGGAAGAAGGAGCCAUACUUCAUGUAAAUUUUAAACCUGCGUUACCAAGAACCAUAGAUAAAGUGAAAGGAAAGCAAGAGAAGCAAGAUGGGAUCCAUGCUGGAGAGAGAAUACACAACCUGAAGGAGAGGCUAAGCAGAAUCUAUUGCCAACAAUCAUAGCUAAGAGGGGAGUGAUGAAUGGCAGUUUGGAGAAGAGGCUAAUCACAGGAAAUAAUUCUUGAAGCCAUUUUCAAACUCAUUAAAGACCAAAAAAAAAAAAAAAAAAAAAUUACAUGAGAGGAGUCAACAUGUAUUAAUGGAGGGCAGAUUACCCAGAUUACGCUUGGUCAGCCUGAUAACCUCUGAUGAUUGGGUUGGUGGAUGAGUGGAGAACAGUCAGCAUUGUUUAUUCUAACUUCAGUAAGGCUAUCAGCACUGUCUUCCAUAGUGCCGUACCAUAUAAAGUGAUGAAGUACAACGUAUAUUAGUGAACAGUGAUGUGGAUUGAAAACUUGCUGAAUUGUUGGGCCUAAAGGUUUCUCAUCACUGACAUGAAGCCCAGUUGGAGGGUACUCAUAGAUGGUGUAUCAAAGAGGUUUAUCCUGAGGCCUGUAGUAUUUAACCUCCUCAUUAAUGACCUAGUCUACACAACAGAGGGCUCCCUCAGAAAAUUUGCAGGUGACAGAAAACUAGGAGGAGUGGCAGAUAUAUCAGAUAGGCUGUCAUCCAGAGGGACCUCAGCAGUUUGGAGAAGUGGGCUGAGAAGAAUCUCAAAGAUUAACAGGAGAAAGUACACAGUCCUGCACCUGAGAAGGAAUAAAAUCAUUAGUAAAUGCUGAGCACUAACCAGCUAGAAAAUAUCUUUGCAGAAAAGCACCUAGCAGUGCUAGUGGAUGACAAGUUGAAUAUAAGCCAACAAAAUGCUUUUUCAAUGAAGCAGCUUAUUGUACACUUGAGGCUUGAGAAACAUAAGCUUGCACUAAUAAACAGCUAUGUUGAUACAUACAUAAUGUGUUAAAA